This 71-nucleotide transfer RNA is filed under the name Rhipicephalus microplus (southern cattle tick). RNAcentral's name for it is "tRNA-Gly". It matches the Rfam family "tRNA". Rfam says of the family: Transfer RNA (tRNA) molecules are approximately 80 nucleotides in length. Their secondary structure includes four short double-helical elements and three loops (D, anti-codon, and T loops). The record is from Rfam by way of RNAcentral. Lineage: Eukaryota; Metazoa; Arthropoda; Arachnida; Ixodida; Ixodidae.
GCGUCGGUGGUUCAGUGGCAGAAUACUCGCCUGCCACGCGGGUGACCCUGGUUCGAUUCCCGGCCGACGCA